AAUAUUGGACAAUGGGCGUGAGCCUGAUCCAGCCAUGCCGCGUGCAGGAAGACUGCCCUAUGGGUUGUAAACUGCUUUUAUACAGGAAGAAACCUUUUCACGUGUGAAAAGCUGACGGUACUGUAAGAAUAAGGAUCGGCUAACUCCGUGCCAGCAGCCGCGGUAAUACGGAGGAUCCAAGCGUUAUCCGGAAUCAUUGGGUUUAAAGGGUCCGUAGGUGGAUAAUUAAGUCAGGGGUGAAAGUUUGCAGCUUAACUGUAAAAUUGCCUUUGAUACUGGUUGUCUUGAAUUAUUGUGAAGUGGUUAGAAUAUGUAGUGUAGCGGUGAAAUGCAUAGAUAUUACAUAGAAUACCAAUUGCGAAGGCAGAUCACUAACAAUAUAUUGACACUGAUGGACGAAAGCGUGGGGAGCGAACAGGAUUAGAUACCCUGGUAGUCCACGCCGUA
RNAcentral lists this ribosomal RNA (447 nucleotides) under uncultured marine bacterium. Its description in RNAcentral is "bacterial SSU rRNA". It matches the Rfam family "Bacterial small subunit ribosomal RNA", at positions 360 to 804 of the family's 1533-position model. The record is from RNAcentral.